Molecule: long non-coding RNA, 431 nt
Organism: Talpa occidentalis (Iberian mole)
Lineage: Eukaryota; Metazoa; Chordata; Mammalia; Eulipotyphla; Talpidae
Exons: 3
Source: RefSeq, a predicted model, not a curated record
UCACUCUCACCUUUGUCAUAAUGCCAUCUCUGCCUGGUCUCCCAGUGUCAACCCUCACCUUCAACUAUCUGUUCCCUCCACAGCAGUCAGAGGAGUGCCAGAGUCAUACCAUAGCCCUUCUCUGCCCAGAAUCCUCCACGGCUCCCACCUCAUUCAGAGCAAAUGUCCAACUUUGCCAUCACCCGUGUCUUGGUCUCCUGGCUCUAACAUUGCACCCAUAGAGGCCAGAGGGUACCCAUGGACUCCUGCAUCAGAAGCUAACCCCACAAGUGUGGCGCCUGUUGUAUCUCCAGGGACUAGAACACUAUUGGGUAACUGCACAGUGUUUGCUGAAGGAAGUUAUGAAUGGAUUUGUUGAUAUUAAGUCACCUGUAUGCUUACCAAGAUAAAAAAAUUUAACCAGAACAACCCUUUCGAUUAAUAGAAAUCAC